Molecule: ribosomal RNA, 433 nt
Filed under: uncultured bacterium
Lineage: Bacteria
Description: partial 16S ribosomal RNA
Rfam family: Bacterial small subunit ribosomal RNA
Source: RNAcentral
GGCGAACGCUGGCGGCAGGCCUAACACAUGCAAGUCGAACGAACCUUUCGGGGUUAGUGGCGGACGGGUGAGUAACACGUGGGAACGUGCCUUUAGGUUCGGAAUAACUCAGGGAAACUUGUGCUAAUACCGAAUGUGCCCUUCGGGGGAAAGAUUUAUCGCCUUUAGAGCGGCCCGCGUCUGAUUAGCUAGUUGGUUGAGGUAAUGGCUCACCAAGGCGACGAUCAGUAGCUGGUCUGAGGGAUGAUCAGCCACAUUGGGACUGAGACACGGCCCAAACUCCUACGGGAGGCAGCAGUGGGGAAUCUUGCGCAAUGGGCGAAAGCCUGACGCAGCCAUGCCGCGUGAAUGAUGAAGGUCUUAGGAUUGUAAAAUUCUUUCACCGGGGACGAUAAUGACGGUACCCGGAGAAGAAGCCCCGGCUAACUUCGUG